Molecule: ribosomal RNA, 625 nt
Filed under: Pseudomonas sp. Horo_7
Lineage: Bacteria; Pseudomonadati; Pseudomonadota; Gammaproteobacteria; Pseudomonadales; Pseudomonadaceae
Description: bacterial SSU rRNA
Rfam family: Bacterial small subunit ribosomal RNA
Source: RNAcentral
UGCAGUCGAGCGGAUGAAGGGAGCUUGCUCCUGGAUUCAGCGGCGGACGGGUGAGUAAUGCCUAGGAAUCUGCCUGGUAGUGGGGGAUAACGUCCGGAAACGGGCGCUAAUACCGCAUACGUCCUGAGGGAGAAAGUGGGGGAUCUUCGGACCUCACGCUAUCAGAUGAGCCUAGGUCGGAUUAGCUAGUUGGUGGGGUAAAGGCCUACCAAGGCGACGAUCCGUAACUGGUCUGAGAGGAUGAUCAGUCACACUGGAACUGAGACACGGUCCAGACUCCUACGGGAGGCAGCAGUGGGGAAUAUUGGACAAUGGGCGAAAGCCUGAUCCAGCCAUGCCGCGUGUGUGAAGAAGGUCUUCGGAUUGUAAAGCACUUUAAGUUGGGAGGAAGGGCAGUAAGUUAAUACCUUGCUGUUUUGACGUUACCAACAGAAUAAGCACCGGCUAACUUCGUGCCAGCAGCCGCGGUAAUACGAAGGGUGCAAGCGUUAAUCGGAUUUACUGGGCGUAAAGCGCGCGUAGGUGGUUCAGCAAGUUGGAUGUGAAAUCCCCGGGCUCAACCUGGGAACUGCAUCCAAAACUACUGAGCUAGAGUACGGUAGAGGGUGGUGGAAUUUCCUGUGUA